UAGCGUUGAUGAACAUCAUUUUGUGUACCAGAGGAGUUUCUGGUGAUGGUCACACAAUCCCUCUAAGAAGUUCUGAGCUU
This is a small nucleolar RNA of Gossypium raimondii (Peruvian cotton), 80 nucleotides long. It matches the Rfam family "Small nucleolar RNA U61". Lineage: Eukaryota; Viridiplantae; Streptophyta; Magnoliopsida; Malvales; Malvaceae. The record is from Rfam.